CGCUAACUAAUAUGUUUGUUCUCAGAGGCUUGUCCCAUAUGUAUCCUCUCCUUCUUUUACAUUCAGAGUGAUAUUCAUGCUUUUUAUUGGUCUUUCCAUUCAUGUACCAUAGUACCAAUUUCAUGGCCUUUGACCCAACUUGCCAGAUGAAGCUGUAAAUGAAUUUAGCAGUGACUGUAGAUAUAAGAAUGCUUGUAUUUGCCUUCAUGAAAUUUUAAGAUAAUGUGUAGUUCAGAAAGACAGAGAUCAACAAGUGCAUUUUCAACAUGCAAAAGAGUCAUAAUUCAAAUUUUUGGAGGGAAGAUACUAGAACUAAAGAGCACUUAAUCAUGUAAAUGUGAUAUAAUACGCACUUCAUGGAAACAGGAAGCCCAAGAAACUCCAUAUUCUGGGACAUUAAGGAAUAGAGUUUCUGAACACUUACCACUGCGCACUGCGAAAAUUGAACUGCAUCUUGAACCUUUGAGUUCCAGAUUGCCAUGGAAUAAUCUUAGCUUUGCACCAAAUAGAUAAAAAGAGUAAAUACAAUAGACACCCACUAUGUUAUGAUUAACCAAAAUUGUUCUUAGAUGGUGAAGCAAUGCAUAAAACCAUGUUAUUUUGGUUCUGACACUCAUAAUCAGUAACU
RNAcentral lists this long non-coding RNA (628 nucleotides) under Nicotiana tabacum (common tobacco). Its description in RNAcentral is "long non-coding RNA (NTAB_LNC001232)". The record is from RNAcentral. Lineage: Eukaryota; Viridiplantae; Streptophyta; Magnoliopsida; Solanales; Solanaceae.